This 825-nucleotide ribosomal RNA is filed under the name uncultured Bacteroidota bacterium. RNAcentral's name for it is "bacterial SSU rRNA". It matches the Rfam family "Bacterial small subunit ribosomal RNA", at positions 58 to 883 of the family's 1533-position model. Lineage: Bacteria; Pseudomonadati; Bacteroidota. The record is from RNAcentral.
CAAGUCGAACGGGAUUAGAGUAGCAAUAUUCUAUGAUAGUGGCGACCGGGUGCGUAACACGUAUGCAAUCUACCUUAUACUGGGGUAUAGCCUCUCGAAAGAGAGAUUAAUCCCCCAUAACAAUGCGAAAUGGCAUCAUUUUGCAUUUAAAGCUCCGGCGGUAUUUGAUGAGCAUGCGUCCUAUUAGCUAGUUGGUGAGGUAACGGCUCACCAAGGCUACGAUAGGUAGGGGGUCUGAGAGGAUGAUCCCCCACACUGGUACUGAAACACGGACCAGACUCCUACGGGAGGCAGCAGUAGGGAAUAUUGGUCAAUGGACGCAAGUCUGAACCAGCCACGCCGCGUGAAGGAUGAAGGCCCCAUGGGUUGUAAACUUCUUUUGUUUGGGAAAAAACCCUCAUAUGUAUAUGAGGCUGAUUGUACCAAGAGAAUAAGGAUCGGCUAACUCCGUGCCAGCAGCCGCGGUAAUACGGAGGAUCCAAGCGUUGUCCGGAUUUAUUGGGUUUAAAGGGUGCGUAGGCGGAUGAUUAAGUCAGUGGUGAAAGCCGGCAGCUCAACUGUCGAACUGCCAUUGAAACUGAUCGUCUUGAAUGUAGUAGAGGUAGGCGGAAUGUAUCAUGUAGCGGUGAAAUGCUUAGAUAUGAUACAGAACACCAAUUGCGAGAGCAGCUUACUAUGCUAUUAUUGGCGCUGAGGCACGAAAGCGUGGGGAUCAAACAGGAUUAGAUACCCUGGUAGUCCACGCUGUAAACGUUGAAUACUCGAUGUUGGCGAUAUACAGUCAGCGUCCAAGAGAAAUCGUUAAGUAUUCCACCUGGGGAGUAC